AACUUUGCCCAUGUUGGAGCUAGAGAAGAUGGAAGCAAAGCUCUCCAAAAAGCUCUCAAUACCAUUGUAAACUUUGUGUUUGGAUUGAAUUUUUCCUUCUUUUUUGUACCCUUUCAUUUCUUUCAUGAAGUCUCCAAACCUAUCCAAGUAUGUGCCCACCAAAAACCCUUCCAUCCCUACCUCUUUUCCCACCAUGUUUAGCAAGUUCC
RNAcentral lists this long non-coding RNA (209 nucleotides) under Actinidia chinensis (golden kiwifruit). RNAcentral's name for it is "long non-coding RNA (ACHI_LNC009630)". Lineage: Eukaryota; Viridiplantae; Streptophyta; Magnoliopsida; Ericales; Actinidiaceae. The record is from RNAcentral.